Molecule: ribosomal RNA, 497 nt
Filed under: uncultured bacterium
Lineage: Bacteria
Description: partial 16S ribosomal RNA
Rfam family: Bacterial small subunit ribosomal RNA
Source: RNAcentral
GACGAACGCUGGCGGCGUGCCUAAUACAUGCAAGUAGAACGCUGAAGAGAGGAGCUUACUCUUCUUGGAUGAGUUGCGAACGGAUGAGUAACGCGUAGGUAACCUGCCUUGUAGCGGGGGAUAACUAUUGGAAACGAUAGCUAAUACCGCAUAACAAUGGAUGACACAUGUCAUUUAUUUGAAAGGGGCAAUUGCUCCACUACAAGAUGGACCUGCGUUGUAUUAGCUAGUAGGUGAGGUAAUGGCUCACCUAGGCGACGAUACAUAGCCGACCUGAGAGGGUGAUCGGCCACACUGGGACUGAGACACGGCCCAGACUCCCACGGGAGGCAGCCGUAGGGAAACUUCGGCAAUGGGGGCAACCCUGAACGAGCAACGCCGCGUGAGUGAAGAAGGUUUUCGGAUCGUAAAGCUCUGUUGUAAGUCAAGAACGGGUGUGAGAGUGGAAAGUUCACACUGUGACGGUAGCUUACCAGAAAGGGACGGCUAACUACGUG